This 312-nucleotide unclassified non-coding RNA is filed under the name Hevea brasiliensis (rubber tree). Lineage: Eukaryota; Viridiplantae; Streptophyta; Magnoliopsida; Malpighiales; Euphorbiaceae. The record is from RNAcentral.
CAGCUUGCAAAGGAGAUUUCCAAGGAUUGGAGUUCUGUUUUUGAAAGAAGCAUAAACACACUAUUUCUCACUGAAAUGGUUCGCGGUUUGAUGUUAACGCUCAAGUAUUUCUUUGAAAAAAAAGUGACUAUCAAUUAUCCAUUUGAGAAGGGUCCUUUGAGCCCCCGGUUUCGUGGUGAGCAUGCCCUCCGGCGAUAUCCAACUGGAGAGGAACGUUGCAUUGCCUGCAAACUCUGUGAAGCUAUAUGUCCUGCACAGGCGAUAACAAUAGAGGCUGAGGAACGUGAAGAUGGAAGCCGUAGGACAACUAGG